UACGUAGGUGACCAGCGUUGUCCGGAUUUACUGGGCGUAAAGAGCGCGCAGGCGGUCGUUCAAGUCGAGUGUGAAAGCCCCCGGCUCAACUGGGGAGGGUCACUCGAUACUGAUCGACUUGAAGGCAGGAGAGGGAAGCGGAAUUCCCGGUGUAGUGGUGAAAUGCGUAGAUAUCGGAAGGAACAUCAGUGGCGAAAGCGACUUCCUGGACCAGUACCGACGUUCAGGCACGAAAGCGUGGGGAGCAAACAGG
RNAcentral lists this ribosomal RNA (253 nucleotides) under uncultured bacterium. Its description in RNAcentral is "partial 16S ribosomal RNA". It matches the Rfam family "Bacterial small subunit ribosomal RNA", at positions 524 to 776 of the family's 1533-position model. The record is from RNAcentral.